Molecule: long non-coding RNA, 1194 nt
Organism: Dendroctonus ponderosae (mountain pine beetle)
Lineage: Eukaryota; Metazoa; Arthropoda; Insecta; Coleoptera; Curculionidae
Exons: 2
Source: RefSeq, a predicted model, not a curated record
AUUGCUAUUUCAAUUGUAAGAUAAAGGUUUACUAUAAAAUCAAAUUCAAAUAUAUACUUAGGCUUACAACUACUCGAAAUCGAAAAUGUACUUUUUAUUGUCGAAACUACUGCGACUAAAUAUAUAAGUGAAAUAAAAUAUUAUAAAUAUUUAUAAGUGAAACGAAAUAAAAUGAUAUAGUCAAGAUAGAUAGCGAGUCGUGUUUUGUUGCGAUUGGUGCUCGGCAGUGACUUUAAAAAUCAUAUUUCAUCUGUGUAUUAUCAACAAUGCACACUUUUAUGUACAUUCUGUUGGCAGCAAUAAGCAGAACGUUUGCUAAAUGGCGACAUGAUUUCGGUUUGUUGGAAAAGCCUGCCAAAUACCGAUUUGUUAACAAUAUUCACGCGUUCGGGCAGAAGAUAACCCCUAUGCUGAGACCAUCAAGGACUACAUGUAGCUUUUACGCAAAAGUUUCGCGUGCUGUUUUAGACGUUUAUUUAAUUGAAUAAUAAUGCAGCAAAGUGAUAAUUGUCAAUAGAGUAGCAAGUAUGAGUUAUUCCUAUUUUAUCUAAAGUGUGCGACUUGAUUAGAAAAUGAAAGUACUUAGUGGCGGUGUGUUUCCCAAUGCAACAUACUUAGCUGCUCGCCAUUUUAAACUAUAUUAAGCUACUUAUUUAGAUGUUGUCAAUGCAAUUUGUUCAAAUAACUAUACUCGAUAAACGCGGUGGACUUUUUCACUUCACGGCCAACCAGAAGUUACAUUAUAUACACUAUUUCCUCUUUUUUCUCAUCAUUUAUCAGGCUACCGAUAACCUUUUUUCUCUAGAUGUGUGGUCUUGUAAAGAAUUCUAAUUAUUAAUGAGACCAGACAACCUUCCCCAUGUGAGUCUAAUAGGGAAUUCGACGAUUUCACUUUGCUUUAGGUUUUAGUAACGGAACUGGUGAAAUCCUUUAUUAUAGGUACCUACUCAUAUUAAUUUUCUGUUCUCUAAUAAUCUUAAACUAGAAUUUUUUUAAAUUCAUGUCAACAUUUUUUGCGUGGUAAUAAGACCAAUUUUGUGAGUAAUGGAACGAAACAUACACUACUUAACAAACAUUUAAAAUUCCGCAUACUGAUUUAUGCAAGUUAUUACAAAAUAGCUUUAGGAACUUAAUCGAUAAUCGAACCUUUGACAUUCUGAAUUGUUCUCUUGACCAGUAAAAUUAUUUGCCGUC